RNAcentral lists this ribosomal RNA (278 nucleotides) under Lathyrus oleraceus (garden pea). RNAcentral describes it as "Pisum sativum (pea) partial 19S ribosomal RNA". It matches the Rfam family "Bacterial small subunit ribosomal RNA", at positions 26 to 330 of the family's 1533-position model. Lineage: Eukaryota; Viridiplantae; Streptophyta; Magnoliopsida; Fabales; Fabaceae. The record is from RNAcentral.
AGAAUGAACGCUGGCGGCAUGCUUUACACAUGCAAGUCGGACGGGAAGUGGUGUUUCCAGUGGCGAACGGGUGAGUAACGCGUAAGAACCUGCCCUUGGGAGGGGGACAACAGCUGGAAACGGCUGCUAAUACCCCGUAGGCUGAGGAGCGAAAGGAGGAAUCCGCCCAAGGAGGGGCUCGCGUCUGAUUAGCUAGUUGGUGAGGUAAUAGCUUACCAAGGCGAUGAUCAGUAGCUGGUCCGAGAGGAUGAUCGGCCACACUGCUACUAACUUUUCGA